CCAUCUCACUGCUUCCAGAGCCAUGCCAAGAGAUCCCGGGACCCUCUCAGAGCCUGGCCACUCCCUCCUUCCCCAGUCCCCCAGGACAUAGUUGUAUAUUCUAGUUGUGAGAGACUCUGGCUGUGGCAAGUGGGACGUCGCCUCAACAUGGCCUGAUGAGCGGUGCCUUGUCCGCGCCCAGGAUCCGAACCAGCAAAACCCUGGGCAGCAGAAGCUGAGCGGGUGAACCUAACCACUCGACCGCCAGCGGGCCUCUGUUUUUAUUUUCGUUCUUUCAGGACACGGGCUCUGAUUUUUGAAUCUGGAGGAGGAGAUUGCAAAAGAGACAGAAAAGGAGUGCCCAGAGAGGCAGAGGGAAAGGAAGAGGAAGAGGAGGGUGAGCCGCGUGGGAAUCCAGGAAAGAGAGGGCUUCCGCUUAGAGACGUGGACCCCGUUUCAUAAGGCUAGGAACCAGGGGGGUGCUGAGAAGUCAUUGCACGAGUUACCCAAGUGAGAAACCAGAUCACAGCUGCAUUUGAGGAAGAUCGUUCUUCACUGUAGACUGCUGAUUCUCAAUCCUGGCUGCACAGUAGAACCUCCUGGAAACCUUUCAAACACUGAUGCCCAGGACCCACCCCAGACUAACUAAAUAAGAGCCUCCCUUGAUGCAGCCUGACAAUGAGAGAGAGGGAAGGAUCAAAGAUAACUCCGAAG
RNAcentral lists this long non-coding RNA (693 nucleotides) under Equus caballus (horse). RNAcentral describes it as "lncRNA (ENSECAG00000052380.1)". The record is from RNAcentral. Lineage: Eukaryota; Metazoa; Chordata; Mammalia; Perissodactyla; Equidae.